RNAcentral lists this small nucleolar RNA (110 nucleotides) under Oryza longistaminata (longstamen rice). RNAcentral's name for it is "snoRNA snoZ173". It matches the Rfam family "Small nucleolar RNA Z173". From Rfam's summary of the family: Z173 is a member of the C/D class of snoRNA which contain the C (UGAUGA) and D (CUGA) box motifs. Most of the members of the box C/D family function in directing site-specific 2'-O-methylation of substrate RNAs. Lineage: Eukaryota; Viridiplantae; Streptophyta; Magnoliopsida; Poales; Poaceae. The record is from RNAcentral.
GCAGCGCCGAUGAUGAGUUUAGAUUGUACUAGGUUGAAUUCUGAUCGAAGAACCCUUUUCUGGGGUUUCCAACGAUGACCACCUGUGUUCCUCUCGAUUUGAGGCGCUAC